This 259-nucleotide ribosomal RNA is filed under the name uncultured Actinomycetales bacterium. RNAcentral's name for it is "partial 16S ribosomal RNA". It matches the Rfam family "Bacterial small subunit ribosomal RNA", at positions 642 to 898 of the family's 1533-position model. Lineage: Bacteria; Bacillati; Actinomycetota; Actinomycetes; Actinomycetales. The record is from RNAcentral.
UAGAGUACUGCAGGGGAGACUGGAAUUCCUGGUGUAGCGGUGGAAUGCGCAGAUAUCAGGAGGAACACCGGUGGCGAAGGCGGGUCUCUGGGCAGUAACUGACGCUGAGGAGCGAAAGCGUGGGGAGCGAACAGGAUUAGAUACCCUGGUAGUCCACGCCGUAAACGGUGGGUACUAGGUGUGGGUUUCCUUCCUUGGGAUCCGUGCCGUAGCUAACGCAUUAAGUACCCCGCCUGGGGAGUACGGCCGCAAGGCUAAA